Molecule: transfer RNA, 76 nt
Filed under: Peptostreptococcaceae bacterium
Lineage: Bacteria; Bacillati; Bacillota; Clostridia; Peptostreptococcales; Peptostreptococcaceae
Description: tRNA-Thr
Rfam family: tRNA
About the family: Transfer RNA (tRNA) molecules are approximately 80 nucleotides in length.
Source: RNAcentral
GCUGAAUUAGCACAAUUGGUAGUGCAUCUAACUUGUAAUUAGAGGGUUGAGGGUUCGAGUCCCUUGUUCAGCUCCA